This 220-nucleotide long non-coding RNA is filed under the name Elaeis guineensis (African oil palm). RNAcentral's name for it is "long non-coding RNA (EGUI_LNC064650)". The record is from RNAcentral. Lineage: Eukaryota; Viridiplantae; Streptophyta; Magnoliopsida; Arecales; Arecaceae.
GUCUACCCCACUACCCUUCGCAAUAAAUUCCUCUGACCAUGGGCGGCCCACUACCAGACGGUUACAAAUGUCGCCAUCAAUCCGUUGCCCCCUCCGCCUAUAAAAGGGGGAUCCAGAUACGUUAUUCUCUAAGCUCAUUUCUUAUCUCAAAACUCUACUAAAUUCUCCGUUCGAGCACUCUAUUCUUGUUGAGGCAGAGAACUGACUUGAGCGUCGGAGG